UGAAAGCACCCCUACAGUAUAUAAACUUACUUCACCUAGGCCAUAAUCACGUUCAAAUCUUAAUCGCCGUACGAUAAAGGUGUUUCAAAAAUGGUGUUUAAAUUUUUAUUGGUAAUUUCUGUUUUUGUAAGUUUUGUUUCUUCAGAAGAUGUUUAUCAAGCUUGUGGGGAUCGAUUAGAUCUUUUGGUGUCGAGUGUUUGCUCAAAAUAUUACAGAAGAAAUUUGAAUGAUGAUUUCGACUCAUCUAAUUUUGGGGAAGAAAUUUCGUCGUCAAGAACUAACAGGAUGCUUCAAAAUCAAAUAGGACGAAGACAGAUCGUUUCUGCGUGUUGUUUCAAACCUUGCACAGUGAGAACCAUUGAAGAAUAUUGCCAUUAUUAACUUUUUCGACUAAAAAUUUUAUGAUUCCAUUAAAAAAAAAAAU
Onthophagus taurus is the source of this 424-nucleotide non-coding RNA. NCBI's taxonomy places the organism in Eukaryota, Metazoa, Arthropoda, Insecta, Coleoptera, Scarabaeidae. The record is from RefSeq and is a predicted model, not a curated record.